Molecule: ribosomal RNA, 505 nt
Filed under: uncultured bacterium
Lineage: Bacteria
Description: bacterial SSU rRNA
Rfam family: Bacterial small subunit ribosomal RNA
Source: RNAcentral
UCAUGGCUCAGGAUGAACGCUAGCUACAGGCUUAACACAUGCAAGUCGAGGGGUAGCAGGGUAGCAAUACCGCUGACGACCGGCGCACGGGUGAGUAACACGUAUCCAACCUUCCCAUAACUCAGGGAUAGCCUUUCGAAAGAAAGAUUAAUACCUGAUAGUACUUUUUCAAGGCAUCUUGAGAAAGUUAAAGAUUUAUUGGUUAUGGAUGGGGAUGCGUUCCAUUAGAUAGUUGGUGAGGUAACGGCUCACCAAGUCUUCGAUGGAUAGGGGUUCUGAGAGGAAGGUCCCCCACAUUGGUACUGAGACACGGACCAAACUCCUACGGGAGGCAGCAGUGAGGAAUAUUGGUCAAUGGGCGAGAGCCUGAACCAGCCAAGUAGCGUGAAGGAAUGAAGGUCCUAUGGAUUGUAAACUUCUUUUAUAGUAGAAUAAAGUGAUCCACGUGUGGAUUUUUGUAUGUAUACUAUGAAUAAGGAUCGGCUAACUCCGUGCCAGCCGCCGC